GGGGCUGUAGCUCAGUGGUAGAGCGCUUGCCUAGCAUGCAUGAGGCACUGGGUUUGAUCCUCAGCACCACA
RNAcentral lists this transfer RNA (71 nucleotides) under Marmota monax (woodchuck). RNAcentral describes it as "tRNA.Ala". It matches the Rfam family "tRNA". From Rfam's summary of the family: Transfer RNA (tRNA) molecules are approximately 80 nucleotides in length. Their secondary structure includes four short double-helical elements and three loops (D, anti-codon, and T loops). Further hydrogen bonds mediate the characteristic L-shaped molecular structure. tRNAs have two regions of fundamental functional importance: the anti-codon, which is responsible for specific mRNA codon recognition, and the 3' end, to which the tRNAs corresponding amino acid is attached (by aminoacyl-tRNA synthetases). tRNAs cope with the degeneracy of the genetic code in two manners: having more than one tRNA (with a specific anti-codon) for a particular amino acid; and 'wobble' base-pairing, i.e. permitting non-standard base-pairing at the 3rd anti-codon position. Lineage: Eukaryota; Metazoa; Chordata; Mammalia; Rodentia; Sciuridae. The record is from RNAcentral.